CAAUCUGGGUGUUGAUGAUGCAUC
RNAcentral lists this non-coding RNA (24 nucleotides) under Arabidopsis thaliana (thale cress). The record is from RNAcentral. Lineage: Eukaryota; Viridiplantae; Streptophyta; Magnoliopsida; Brassicales; Brassicaceae.